GGGGUGUGGCUCAGAUGGUAGAGUGCUCGCUUAAUAUGAGAAAGGUACGGGGAUCGAUACCCGCGCCUACA
This 71-nucleotide transfer RNA is filed under the name Trichonephila inaurata madagascariensis. RNAcentral's name for it is "tRNA-Ile". Lineage: Eukaryota; Metazoa; Arthropoda; Arachnida; Araneae; Nephilidae. The record is from RNAcentral.